GACGAACGCUGGCGGCGUGCUUAACACAUGCAAGUCGAACGGAAAGGCCCUGCUUUUGUGGGGUGCUCGAUUGGCGAACGGGGGAGUAACACGUGAGUAACCUGCCCCUGACUUUGGGAUAACUUCAGGAAACUGGGGCUAAUACCGGAUAUGAGCUCCUGCUGCAUGGGGUGGGUUGGAAAGUUUCGGCUGUUGGGGAUGGACUGGCGGCUUAUCAGCUUGUUUGGGGGGUAGUGGCUUACCAAGGCUUUGACGGGUAGCCGGCCUGAGAGGGUGACCGGCCACAUUGGGACUGAGAUACGGCGCAGACUGCGACGGGAGGCAGCAGUGGGGAACAUUGCACAAUGGGCGGAAGCGUGAUGCAGCAACGCCGAGUGCGGGAUGACGGCCUACGGGUUGUAAACCGCUUUCGCCUGUGCCGAAGCGUGAGUGACGGUAAUGGGUAAAGAAGCACCGGCUAACUACGUG
Molecule: ribosomal RNA, 468 nt
Filed under: uncultured bacterium
Lineage: Bacteria
Description: partial 16S ribosomal RNA
Rfam family: Bacterial small subunit ribosomal RNA
Source: RNAcentral